RNAcentral lists this long non-coding RNA (1223 nucleotides) under Capra hircus (goat). Its description in RNAcentral is "lncRNA (ENSCHIG00010005860.1)". The record is from RNAcentral. Lineage: Eukaryota; Metazoa; Chordata; Mammalia; Artiodactyla; Bovidae.
CAUGGUGCCACAGCCACAUACCAUAAGCUCCACUAUGUGUGUCCAGCAGCUCUGUAUCUAUCUCAGGGCUUCAGCAUACUUUAUAGCCUCCAAACCCCGUUUGACUUUCCACCUCCCCCACUGAGGGGCAAUGGCACUCAUCCUGCCUACCCCAAGACAGUGAUGCAGAAGAUACCUAAGUGUGCAUCCCUCUGUGGGCCUGGAGAAGACUAAAGAAUACCUGGGAGUGGGUCACUGGGUCCAGGGUCACUAUGCCCCAAACCUGAUGACAGCUGACAGCAGUGCUGAAGAACUCAGCAGCAGUACAAGUAACAAAACAUGGUAGCUCUCCCAUCUCCAUCAACCCAACAGCGUGUCAUUACGCUUGUGGGCGUGUGAUUUCUCUGCUACAAAAACAAGAAGUUUGAGCAUCUCCUCCUGGGUUGCUGAGCUCUCUGGCUCCUCUUAUGCACUUGCUUGUCCACAUCUCUGCUGUUUUAACUCCAGGCACUUUUGGCUCUUCAUGAAUUUGCAGGAGCUCCUUGCAGUUUUGGUAAAAACCAUGUUGGUCUGGACACUGCAAACAUCUACUCCUCCUGUCUGUAUUGACUCUGGCCAUGGGACACUUGGUUGAACGGAGGAGGCAUAUUGAUAAGACCAGCCAGCUCACCUGAGGAAACCAUUUCCAGCACCAGAUGGUCCCCAGGUGGCAGAAAAGCAACAGUAUCAUUCUCGUCAAACCACUGCGGGUAGUUCCUAUGUUCCUUGACCCACUAACCCCUGACAGGACAGAGCGAGGGGGACAUCCUACCACCAAUGGCAAGACUGGGCAUCAAUCCAUAGGUCUGCACAGAGCUCUGCCCCUGUGCAGGACCGGAGUAGCCAUAACGCCUGCCCCACCCUCUCCAGCAGGUCAUACCCUGGAAAAAAGCUACAUCUGCAUCAAGAGACUGUCAGCAGCCUGGCUCCCCUUGGGUUCUCUUGGACAUGGAAAUCAGGCUGGGACACCCCUGUGCCCACGUUACAUGGCAGAACCAGUUCUGCACUGCUCCCCAUGCUGGCACCCCCACGUCCACCUUUUUGGUACCUCAGUAACACGGACUGGGGUCACCUCCAACCUCCUGAUGCUGCAAAUGACUCAGUGUCCAUCCUGUGCAUGUUCCCUCAUAGAGCCAUGCUGGCAUCUCUCUGGCACGCCAACCCAAGGCUGGAACUGCCAAGUCACAUGGAAGCAAACAGCAUAG